This 551-nucleotide ribosomal RNA is filed under the name uncultured bacterium. Its description in RNAcentral is "bacterial LSU rRNA". It matches the Rfam family "Bacterial large subunit ribosomal RNA", at positions 538 to 1087 of the family's 2925-position model. The record is from RNAcentral.
GUGAAAUAGAUCCUGAAACCGCAUGCAUACAAACAGUGGGAGCCUCCUUGUGGGGUGACUGCGUACCUUUUGUAUAAUGGGUCAGCGACUUACGUUCAGUAGCAAGCUUAACCGGAUAGGGGAGGCGUAGCGAAAGCGAGUCUGAUAAGGGCGACAUAGUUGCUGGGCGUAGACCCGAAACCAAGUGAUCUAUCCAUGGCCAGGAUGAAGGUGCGGUAACACGCACUGGAGGUCCGAACCCACUAAUGUUUGAAAAAUUAGGGGAUGAGCUGUGGAUAGGGGUGAAAGGCUAAACAAACUUGGAAAUAGCUGGUUCUCCCCGAAAACUAUUUAGGUAGUGCCUCGUGCGGACACUUCCGGGGGUAGAGCACUGUAAUCGUUGGGGGGGGUCAUUGCGAUCUACCCCGCGAUAGCAAACUCCGAAUACCGGAAAGUGAUACACGGGAGACAGACGGUGGGUGCUAACGUCCAUCGUCAAGAGGGAAACAACCCAGACCGCCAGCUAAGGUCCCAAAUCCAUGGCUAAGUGGAAAACGAGGUGGGAAGGCAUA